CCUCUCGAAAGAGAGAUUAACACCGCAUAACAUCAUUUACCGGCAUCGGUUUUUGAUCAAAUAUUUAUAGGAUAUGGAUGGGCUCGCGUGACAUUAGCUAGUUGGAGAGGUAACGGCUCACCAAGGCUACGAUGUCUAGGGGCUCUGAGAGGAGAAUCCCCCACACUGGUACUGAGACACGGACCAGACUCCUACGGGAGGCAGCAGGUAAGGAAUAUUGGUCAAUGGAGGCAACUCUGAACCAGCCAUGCCGCGUGCAGGAUGACUGCCCUAUGGGUUGUAAACUGCUUUUGUCAGGGAAUAAACCUUUCUACGUGUAGAAAGCUGAAUGUACCUGAAGAAUAAGGAUCGGCUAACUCCGUG
RNAcentral lists this ribosomal RNA (363 nucleotides) under uncultured bacterium. RNAcentral describes it as "bacterial SSU rRNA". It matches the Rfam family "Bacterial small subunit ribosomal RNA", at positions 147 to 507 of the family's 1533-position model. The record is from RNAcentral.